UGGCUCAGUUGGUAGAGCAUGGCGCUUGCAAUGCCAGGGUUGUGGGUUUGAUUCCCAU
Molecule: transfer RNA, 58 nt
Filed under: Salmo salar (Atlantic salmon)
Lineage: Eukaryota; Metazoa; Chordata; Actinopteri; Salmoniformes; Salmonidae
Also listed under: 3 other names
Rfam family: tRNA
About the family: Transfer RNA (tRNA) molecules are approximately 80 nucleotides in length. Their secondary structure includes four short double-helical elements and three loops (D, anti-codon, and T loops). Further hydrogen bonds mediate the characteristic L-shaped molecular structure. tRNAs have two regions of fundamental functional importance: the anti-codon, which is responsible for specific mRNA codon recognition, and the 3' end, to which the tRNAs corresponding amino acid is attached (by aminoacyl-tRNA synthetases). tRNAs cope with the degeneracy of the genetic code in two manners: having more than one tRNA (with a specific anti-codon) for a particular amino acid; and 'wobble' base-pairing, i.e. permitting non-standard base-pairing at the 3rd anti-codon position.
Source: Rfam by way of RNAcentral